RNAcentral lists this unclassified non-coding RNA (322 nucleotides) under rhizosphere metagenome. Its description in RNAcentral is "partial ribosomal RNA internal transcribed spacer region". The record is from RNAcentral.
GUAGGUGAACCUGCGGAAGGAUCAUUAACACGUAUCCACGUAUCAAACCCCUCUGUGCAAAAACCUCUUCUGACAAGGCUUGGUCUUAGUAUGUUGCUCGCAUGGGUCCUAAUGAUGGAGUUAGUUGCUUUGGCGACUAACUAGGGUCCGAGUAGCAUGUGUUUGACGAUCAGCCGUUACUUUACUAUCAUUGGCCCCUUCUCUAACUUUUAAACCCCUUGUACUCUUUUGUACUGAACCAAUUCUUUCGAUGCUCUCCGGAGCGACGAAUGAUAUUACGAAACUAAAAGAACAACUCUUAGCAACGGAUAUCUUGGUUCCC